RNAcentral lists this ribosomal RNA (477 nucleotides) under uncultured Bacteroidota bacterium. RNAcentral describes it as "bacterial SSU rRNA". It matches the Rfam family "Bacterial small subunit ribosomal RNA", at positions 28 to 505 of the family's 1533-position model. Lineage: Bacteria; Pseudomonadati; Bacteroidota. The record is from RNAcentral.
GAUGAACGCUAGCGGCAGGCCUAAUACAUGCAAGUCGAACGGUAAGGCUUCUUCGGAAGUACACGAGUGGCGGACGGGUGCGUAACGCGUAUGCAACCUACCCUUUAGUGGGGGAUAGCCUAGAGAAAUUUAGAUUAAUACCCCAUAGUAUUUUUGAACCGCAUGGUUUGGAAAUUAAAACUCCGGUGUUAAAGGAUGGGCAUGCGUGACAUUAGUUAGAUGGUGAGGUAAUGGCUCACCAUGGCAACGAUGUCUAGCUGGUCUGAGAGGAUGAUCAGCCACACUGGGACUGAGACACGGCCCAGACUCCUACGGGAGGCAGCAGUAGGGAAUAUUGGACAAUGGACGAAAGUCUGAUCCAGCCAUGCCGCGUGAAGGAAGACGGUUCUCUGAAUUGUAAACUUCUUUUAGCAGGGAAUAAACCGAGGGUAUAGUCCUCGUUGCAGGUACCUGCAGAAUAAGCACCGGCUAACUCCG